This 103-nucleotide small nuclear RNA is filed under the name Lepisosteus oculatus (spotted gar). Lineage: Eukaryota; Metazoa; Chordata; Actinopteri; Semionotiformes; Lepisosteidae. The record is from RNAcentral.
GUAUCCCAGCUUCGGCCACACAUAUACUAAAAUUGGAACGAUGCAGAGAAGAUUAGAAUGGCCCCAGCUGAGAUCUGUAUAACUUAAGGAUCGUCUGCUUAGU